UUGGACAGCUGAUCGACAGAAAAGUACAUCAUUAGAGUCAAGGGCAUUUCGCAGAUGCAUAGAUUAGGAAGCAGAUCCUCCCUUUAAGAUAUUGAAAAAUAUCAUGUGGAAAGAGAAGCUGUACCAAGCUGUGCAAGCUGGAAUAGCAGGUCCGUAUGGGGAUAAGGAUGUGGCUCACGUGCUCCAGCAGAAACCUGUCCAGCUCUUUGUAGGUGCUGUGGAAAACGCAGCCUCGUCCGGCCUGCAGGGC
Chinchilla lanigera (long-tailed chinchilla) is the source of this 250-nucleotide long non-coding RNA. RefSeq lists it as uncharacterized. The transcript has 3 exons. Lineage: Eukaryota; Metazoa; Chordata; Mammalia; Rodentia; Chinchillidae. The record is from RefSeq and is a predicted model, not a curated record.